This 278-nucleotide long non-coding RNA is filed under the name Elaeis guineensis (African oil palm). RNAcentral's name for it is "long non-coding RNA (EGUI_LNC025569)". Lineage: Eukaryota; Viridiplantae; Streptophyta; Magnoliopsida; Arecales; Arecaceae. The record is from RNAcentral.
AUAUAUACUUCUAGAUAAAGAGAUACAAUUUUCAAAAUAUAGUACUCAUCAAUACAUAGCAUAUGAGCAAAUGACACACACUAGAUGACUUAUUGAUACAUACUGUAAAUUUUUUUAAUACAUAUUUAGCAAUGACCUAAUAUACCUCUAUAGAUAAUUGAUAUAUAAUUUAUCAAAUUUAGUAUCCUCCUAUACACAGUGUAUGAUUAGUUGAUACACACCUAGUAAAAUAUCUAUUUGAUAUCCUAUAAUAAAUAUCUCUAAGUACAAUGAUACAC